GUGCAGGCUGGAUUCCCAGUGGGGGGUUGCUAGAAACAGCCAAUCGGUGAUUCUCUCUCAUCACUGAUGUUUCUCUCUCUCUCUCCCUCUCCCU
Long non-coding RNA from Myotis davidii, 94 nucleotides. RefSeq lists it as uncharacterized. Lineage: Eukaryota; Metazoa; Chordata; Mammalia; Chiroptera; Vespertilionidae. The transcript has 3 exons. The record is from RefSeq and is a predicted model, not a curated record.